UACGGGGGGGGCAAGCGUUGUUCGGAUUUACUGGGCGUAAAGGGCUCGUAGGCGGCCAACUAAGUCAGACGUGAAAUCCCCAGGCUUAACCUGGGAACUGCGUCUGAUACUGGAUGGCUUGAAUUCGGGAGAGGGAUGCAGAAUUCCAGGUGUAGCGGUGAAAUGCGUAGAUAUCUGGAGGAAUACCGGUGGCGAAGGCGGCAUCCUGGACCGACAUUGACGCUGAGGAGCGAAAGCUAGGGGAGCAAACGGG
RNAcentral lists this ribosomal RNA (253 nucleotides) under uncultured bacterium. RNAcentral describes it as "partial 16S ribosomal RNA". It matches the Rfam family "Bacterial small subunit ribosomal RNA", at positions 524 to 776 of the family's 1533-position model. The record is from RNAcentral.